GCCCAUGUAGCUCAGUUUGUAGAGCACACCCUUGGUAAGGGUGAGGUCAGCAGUUCAAAUCUGCUCAUGGGCUCCA
Molecule: transfer RNA, 76 nt
Filed under: Sedimenticola selenatireducens
Lineage: Bacteria; Pseudomonadati; Pseudomonadota; Gammaproteobacteria; Chromatiales; Sedimenticolaceae
Description: tRNA-Thr
Rfam family: tRNA
About the family: Transfer RNA (tRNA) molecules are approximately 80 nucleotides in length. Their secondary structure includes four short double-helical elements and three loops (D, anti-codon, and T loops).
Source: RNAcentral